This 253-nucleotide ribosomal RNA is filed under the name uncultured bacterium. RNAcentral describes it as "partial 16S ribosomal RNA". It matches the Rfam family "Bacterial small subunit ribosomal RNA", at positions 524 to 776 of the family's 1533-position model. The record is from RNAcentral.
UACGGGGGGGGCAAGCGUUGUUCGGAAUUACUGGGCGUAAAGGGCUCGUAGGCGGCCAACUAAGUCAUACGUGAAAUCCCUCGGCUUAACCGGGGAACUGCGUCUGAUACUGGAUGGCUUGAGAUUGGGAGAGGGAUGCGGAAUUCCAGGUGUAGCGGUGAAAUGCGUAGAUAUCUGGAGGAACACCGGUGGCGAAGGCGGCGACCUGGGUAGAUACUGACGCUGAGACGCGAAAGCGUGGGUAGCAAACAGG